Phrynosoma platyrhinos (Desert horned lizard) is the source of this 72-nucleotide non-coding RNA. The record is from the annotation of a GenBank genome assembly. NCBI's taxonomy places the organism in Eukaryota, Metazoa, Chordata, Lepidosauria, Squamata, Phrynosomatidae.
GCCAGAGUGGUGCAAUGGUUCGAGCGUUACAUUGUGACUCUGGAGACCUGGGUUCGAAUCCUGGCUCAGCCA